RNAcentral lists this ribosomal RNA (377 nucleotides) under uncultured bacterium. Its description in RNAcentral is "bacterial SSU rRNA". It matches the Rfam family "Bacterial small subunit ribosomal RNA", at positions 521 to 896 of the family's 1533-position model. The record is from RNAcentral.
UAAUACGUAAGUGGCGAGCGUUAUCCGGAAUUACUGGGCGUAAAGCGUUCGUAGGCGGUGCAGUAAGUUGGGUUUGAAAGCCCGGGGCUCAACUCCGGACCCGGAUCCAAAACUACUGUGCUGGAGCAUAUCAGGGGGCAGCGGAAUUCCCGGUGUAGCGGUAAUAUGCGUAGAUAUCGGGAGGAACACCAGUGGCGAAGGCGGCUGCCUGGGGUAUUGCUGACGCUGAGGAACGAAGGCCAGGGGAGCGAACGGGAUUAGAUACCCCGGUAGUCCUGGCGGUAAACGAUGGGCACUAGGUGUCAGGGGCUUCGACCCCCUUGGCGCCGCCGCUAACGCAUUAAGUGCCCCGCCUGGGGAGUACGGCCGCAAGGUUG